Molecule: ribosomal RNA, 1098 nt
Filed under: Dictyocheirospora metroxylonis
Lineage: Eukaryota; Fungi; Ascomycota; Dothideomycetes; Pleosporales; Dictyosporiaceae
Description: SSU rRNA
Rfam family: Eukaryotic small subunit ribosomal RNA
Source: RNAcentral
CAAAGAUUAAGCCAUGCAUGUCUAAGUAUAGCAAUUAUACCGUGAAACUGCGAAUGGCUCAUUAAAUCAGUUAUCGUUUAUUUGAUAGUACCUUACUACUUGGAUACCCGUGGUAAUUCUAGAGCUAAUACAUGCUAAAAACCCCGACUUCGGGAGGGGUGUGUUUAUUAGAUAAAAAACCAACGCCCUUCGGGGCUCCUUGGUGAUUCAUGAUAACCUCUCAGAUCGCACGGCCUUGCGCCGGCGACGGUUCAUUCAAAUUUCUGCCCUAUCAACUUUCGAUGGUAAGGUAUUGGCUUACCAUGGUUUCAACGGGUAACGGGGAAUUAGGGUUCGAUUCCGGAGAGUGAGCCUGAGAAACGGCUCACACAUCCAAGGAAGGCAGCAGGCGCGCAAAUUACCCAAUCCCGACACGGGGAGGUAGUGACAAUAAAUACUGAUACAGGGCUCUUUUGGGUCUUGUAAUUGGAAUGAGUACAAUUUAAACCUCUUAACGAGGAACAAUUGGAGGGCAAGUCUGGUGCCAGCAGCCGCGGUAAUUCCAGCUCCAAUAGCGUAUAUUAAAGUUGUUGCAGUUAAAAAGCUCGUAGUUGAAUCUUUGGCCUGGCUGGCGGGUCCGCCUCACCGCGUGCACUUGUCCGGCCGGGCCUUCUCUUCUGGAGAACCGCAUGCCCUUCACUGGGCGUGUUGGGGACCAGGACUUUUACUUUGAAAAAAUUAGAGUGUUCAAAGCAGGCCUUUGCUCGAAUACGUUAGCAUGGAAUAAUAGAAUAGGACGUGCGGUCCUAUUUUGUUGGUUUCUAGGACCGCCGUAAUGAUUAAUAGGGACAGUCGGGGGCAUCAGUAUUCAAUUGUCAGAGGUGAAAUUCUUGGAUUUAUUGAAGACUAACUACUGCGAAAGCAUUUGCCAAGGAUGUUUUCAUUAAUCAGUGAACGAAAGUUAGGGGAUCGAAGACGAUCAGAUACCGUCGUAGUCUUAACCAUAAACUAUGCCGACUAGGGAUCGGGCGGUGUUAUCGAUUUGACCCGCUCGGCACCUUGCGAGAAAUCAAAGUGUUUGGGUUCUGGGGGGAGUAUGGUCGCAAGGCUGAACUAGAG